RNAcentral lists this ribosomal RNA (468 nucleotides) under uncultured bacterium. RNAcentral describes it as "partial 16S ribosomal RNA". It matches the Rfam family "Bacterial small subunit ribosomal RNA", at positions 28 to 507 of the family's 1533-position model. The record is from RNAcentral.
GACGAACGCUGGCGGCGUGCUUAACACAUGCCAGUCGAACGGAAAGGCCCUGCUUUUGUGGGGUGCUCGAGUGGCGAACGGGUGAGUAACACGUGAGUAACCUGCCCUUGACUUUGGGAUAACUUCAGGAAACUGGGGCUAAUACCGGAUAGGAGCUCCUGCUGCAUGGUGGGGGUUGGAAAGUUUCGGCGGUUGGGGAUGGACUCGCGGCUUAUCAGCUUGUUGGUGGGGUAGUGGCUUACCAAGGCUUUGACGGGUAGCCGGCCUGAGAGGGUGACCGGCCACAUUGGGACUGAGAUACGGCGCAGACUCCUACGGGAGGCAGCAGUGGGGAAUAUUGCACAAUGGGCGGAAGCCUGAUGCAGCAACGCCGCGUGCGGGAUGACGGCCUGCGGGUUGUAAACCGCUUUCGCCUGUGACGAAGCGUGAGUGACGGUAAUGGGUAAAGAAGCACCGGCUAACUACGUG